Molecule: ribosomal RNA, 279 nt
Filed under: uncultured bacterium
Lineage: Bacteria
Description: partial 16S ribosomal RNA
Rfam family: Bacterial small subunit ribosomal RNA
Source: RNAcentral
GAUGAACGCUGGCGGCGUGCUUAACACAUGCAAGUCGAACGAGCUCUUUCGGGAGUUAGUGGCGGACGGGUGAGUAACGCGUGAGGAUCUGCCCAAAGGAUGGGGACAACAGCGGGAAACUGCUGCUAAGACCCAAUGUGCCGAGAGGUGAAAUAUUUAUAGCCUUUGGAUGAACUCGCGUCUGAUUAGCUAGUUGGUGAGGUAAGAGCUUACCAAGGCGACGAUCAGUAGCUGGUCUGAGAGGACGAUCAGCCACACUGGGACUGAGACACGGCCCAG